RNAcentral lists this ribosomal RNA (497 nucleotides) under uncultured bacterium. Its description in RNAcentral is "partial 16S ribosomal RNA". It matches the Rfam family "Bacterial small subunit ribosomal RNA", at positions 28 to 507 of the family's 1533-position model. The record is from RNAcentral.
GACGAACGCUGGCGGCGUGCCUAAUACAUGCAAGUAGAACGCUGAAGAGAGGAGCUUGCUCUUCUUGGAUGAGUUGCGAACGGGUGAGUAACGCGUAGGUAACCUGCCUUGUAGCGGGGGAUAACUAUUGGAAACGAUAGCUAAUACCGCAUAACAAUGGAUGACACAUGUCCUUUAUUUGAAAGGGGCAAUUGCUCCACUACAAGAUGGACCUGCGUUGUAUUAGCUAGUAGGUGAGGUAAUGGCUCACCUAGGCGACGAUACAUAGCCGACCUGAGAGGGUGAUCGGCCACACUGGGACUGAGACACGGCCCAGACUCCUACGGGAGGCAGCAGUAGGGAAUCCUCGGCAAUGGGGGCAACCCUGACCGAGCAACGCCGCGUGAGUGAAGAAGGUUUUCGGAUCGUAAAGCUCUGUUGUAAGUCAAGAACGGGUGUGAGAGUGGAAAGUUCACACUGUGACGGUAGCUUACCAGAAAGGGACGGCUAACUACGUG